Non-coding RNA from Ciona intestinalis (vase tunicate), 503 nucleotides. The record is from RefSeq and is a predicted model, not a curated record. NCBI's taxonomy places the organism in Eukaryota, Metazoa, Chordata, Ascidiacea, Phlebobranchia, Cionidae.
UUGGGACAAGGAAACACAAAAACAGAAUCGAAGCAAUCAUCACCCACGUGCAAUUAACAACGCAGAACUUUAAAACCUUGAAUGGCAAAUGGCUUGAUGGUAAAAUAAUGGACAGUAUGUUGGAGAUUUUAUGUGCCCAGAAAAAAAAUCAUGGUAAGGCAUUAUCCUGCUUGAUUGCAACAGAGUGGUGGCUGCAUGGAAAGAUCGGCAGUAAUGACUGGGAUAUGUAUUGAGAUAAUAAUUAGUUUUACAACCCGGCAAUACCAUAUAAAAUAAUUUGUGAUAAUUAUUCAGUUUAUAUGACUUUAGGUUAAAGAACUGUUUGGCGUCAACCUUGUCACAUUUGUGAACACAGGCAUCCAAUGGUUAUUUCUGGUAAAAUCAAUGUUUCAAAUAAUUAUGUACUUGUUAAAUACUGUAGUGGUUGAUUGUGCUCUAGCACAGAAUUAAUGAUAUAAAGAUAGCUAAAUUUAUUCUAAUACAUAAAGAUUAAAUAUAAAGCA